Molecule: unclassified non-coding RNA, 207 nt
Filed under: uncultured Agaricaceae
Lineage: Eukaryota; Fungi; Basidiomycota; Agaricomycetes; Agaricales; Agaricaceae
Description: sequence contains ITS2
Source: RNAcentral
AAUUCUCAAGCCCCUUGGUUUUGUUUUGCAAAACUAAAUGGGGCUUGGAUUAUGGAGGUAUUGCCGGCCUGAAACAGGUCAGCUUCUCUGAAAUAUAUUAGUGGAACUGUUUGCAAUCCGUUACUGGCGUGAUAAUUAUCUGCACCAGUGGGUUGCUCUCAUUGUUUCGCUGCUAACUGUCUGUAAGGACAAAACUCAAUACUGAAU